Molecule: ribosomal RNA, 1484 nt
Filed under: uncultured bacterium
Lineage: Bacteria
Description: bacterial SSU rRNA
Rfam family: Bacterial small subunit ribosomal RNA
Source: RNAcentral
AGAGUUUGAUCCUGGCUCAGGAUGAACGCUAGCGGCAGGCUUAACACAUGCAAGUCGAGGGGUAACGAUGUAGCUUGCUACAGGCGACGACCGGCGCACGGGUGCGUAACGCGUAUGCAACCUACCUAUUACAGGGGAAUAGCCCAGAGAAAUUUGGAUUAAUGCCCCAUAAUAUAUUGAUAUCGCAUGAUAUUGAUAUUAAAGUUCCGGCGGUAAUAGAUGGGCAUGCGUGACAUUAGCUAGAUGGUAAGGUAACGGCUUACCAUGGCAACGAUGUCUAGGGGUUCUAAAAGGAAGGUCCCCCACACUGGUACUGAGACACGGACCAGACUCCUACGGGAGGCAGCAGUGAGGAAUAUUGGGCAAUGGAGGCAACUCUGACCCAGCCAUGCCGCGUGAAGGAAGACGGCCCUACGGGUUGUAAACUUCUUUUCUGAAGGAAUAAUUCUUGCUACGUGUAGCGAGUUGAAUGUACUUCAAGAAUAAGCACCGGCUAACUCCGUGCCAGCAGCCGCGGUAAUACGGAGGGUGCAAGCGUUAUCCGGAUUUAUUAGGUUUAAAGGGUCCGCAGGCGGACCUAUAAGUCAGUGGUGAAAUCCUGCAGCUUAACUGUAGAACUGCCAUUGAUACUGUAGGUCUUGAGCUUAGACGAGGUAGGCGGAAUAUAUGAUGUAGCGGUGAAAUGCUUAGAUAUCAUAUAGAACACCGAUUGCGAAGGCAGCUUACUAGACUAUAACUGACGCUCAUGGACGAAAGCGUGGGGAGCGAACAGGAUUAGAUACCCUGGUAGUCCACGCCGUAAACGAUGAUUACUAGUUGUUGGCGAUACAUUGUCAGUGACUGAGCGAAAGCAUUAAGUAAUCCACCUGGGGAGUACGUUCGCAAGAAUGAAACUCAAAGGAAUUGACGGGGGCCCGCACAAGCGGAGGAACAUGUGGUUUAAUUCGAUGAUACGCGAGGAACCUUACCCAGGCUUAAAUGUAGAACGACAGGUUUGGAAACAGACUUUUCUUCGGACGUUUUACAAGGUGCUGCAUGGUUGUCGCCAGCUCGUGCCGUGAGGUGUCGGGUUAAGUCCCAUAACGAGCGCAACCCCUAUCGUUAGUUGCCAACAGGUCGAGCUGGGGACUCUAACGAGACUGCCAUCGUAAGAUGCGAGGAAGGUGGGGAUGACGUCAAAUCAGCACGGCCCUUAUGUCUGGGGCUACACACGUGUUACAAUGGUAACUACAAAGGGCAGCCACCUGGCGACAGGGAGCUAAUCCUUAAAAGUUAUCUCAGUUCGGAUCGUAGUCUGCAACUCGACUACGUGAAGUUGGAUUCGCUAGUAAUCGGAUAUCAGCCAUGAUCCGGUGAAUACGUUCCCGGGCCUUGUACACACCGCCCGUCAGACCAUGGAAGCUGGGGGUACCUAAAGUCCGUAACCGUAAGGAGCGGCCUAGGGUAAAUCUGGUAACUAGGGUUAAGUCGUAACAAGGUAGCCG